Felis catus (domestic cat) is the source of this 5800-nucleotide long non-coding RNA. RefSeq lists it as uncharacterized. The transcript has 3 exons. Lineage: Eukaryota; Metazoa; Chordata; Mammalia; Carnivora; Felidae. The record is from RefSeq and is a predicted model, not a curated record.
UGGGUUUUUAAGCAUCAGCAGAUCUGCCUUGCAAAUAACCCUCACGCCUAAGGAGUAUGAAAGGAGAUAGUAUACAUCCAAUUAGUUGUGUGAUAUUAAUUAAAUGGGCCAGAUCAUAGAUGAUCUUUUAGCUUAAAUACUAGGAGACAACUAAUAAAAGAUGCUAUUUCUUCAGCCAGCAUUCACAUUCCUAUUCAUAAACCUAUCCCUGGAUCAUAAAAACUCCCAUUUUGUAACAGACACAUACACAGGCAUCUCCUACAAUUCAGUGACCUACACCUCAUCACAUCCUGCAUUCCCUUUAAUCCAACAGUGAAAAAUGCUUCUCUUAUAAAACCGGAAAGUAGAACCAUGUUGAAAUCACUGUAGCUUUCACCCCUCUGGUACUCCAAAGUGUCUUCUGUUUGGAAAAGCUCGGGAAGCACUAUUUGGUUUGGUCAUAAUUCUUGCAAUAUUACAUCACUUUCAUACUAACAAUCAACACAAAUAAAUGUUCAGAACUUAAACCAAGUGAGAGCAGUGGAGUGCGCUGAAUGAGAUAGGCCCCCAGGAGGUUUGCAGUGCUUGAGUAUCUAGCAACCUGAUCUCAGCAAAAAUGUCUGGUAAACUUGAUUUGUCUUAUCAUUUCACAGCUCCACUGCCACCAAGAUUAAACUUCGGGAUUUCAUUUCUUUACUCAGAGUGGGAACGUAUUCAACUGUAGCUGCUUCUCUGCCUGCAAGUUUUAUGGUAGCAGUGAACUAGAGUAUAUUGUGUUAUUAAACCCUAACCAGGCAGUAAAUUACAGAGAGAAAAACAAAAGCAAAUUCUGCUGAGGAGGAUGGUUUUUGUUUUUUAAGUGAACGACGGACUCUACCUUACUCUGAAUGAGCAAAUUGUGAAACAUUUCUUAGGGAUUUGUCAUCAUACUUCAUCUUUAUUUUGUCUUCAGUUUAGCAGUGGAAGCAAUAUUUAAAAGAAAGUUGCUACAUGGGGGAAGGUCAGCUGAGAGAACACUGGUGCCCUAACAGUUGUGACAGUUACCAAGUAAACCCUGUUUCAAUAACUCUUAGGACUGUGCUUUUAAAUCCAUGGAUAAAUAUGCAGAGGAAGAGAAUGAAACCCAAAUAUUUCAACAUUUUCAGCUUUCCUGAAACUGCUGAGUAUAGGUAGCAGUAUCUUUUGCUCAUGGAUUUCAGAUUUUUCAGGGGGAAGUGAUGAGGAAAGGAGGAGACAGAGCAAUGCCAUAAAAUAGACAAAACCAUUCUUUGCCUAAGUUGCGUAAAGACCAUGGGGAGCAGAAGGGAGAAUGGCAGCUCCCUGGAAGGCUGAGAGUGUUGGCCUCCCAUGAAACCUGUUUCUGUGAGUUUUUUCAACCCACUUCCACCCCCAAAGUUGGAGCAGAACUUGGGAGAUGAAGAGCAAGGCAUCUUUGCACCAAAUAGGGAAGCACAAAACUCAGUAGCUCUAUGCUUCCUUCAAUAGUCCCUGCUUCCUUCGAUAAUGAACACAAUCACCAAAAUAUCUUUAUGAAACACUCGUGUGUAUUACACUAUAAAAUCAAACAAAAAGAACCCAUACGUGGUAUGUUCCCCACCUAUCCAUGCCCCCCAUUCCCAUUAUUCAAAACAACAUUGAGGGAAUAAAACUGAAGUGACAGGUUCUAAGAAGUUACUGUCCUCAUUCCCACAAAACUUCCAAAGUUCCAUUGUAGCAAUUUUGAGAAUGCAGAAUUGCUGUUCAAGGUCAAAACUGCCUUAAGGAACCUCCCUUUUUAACAAGUCCUCAGACUAUGAAGAAUUGGAGGGAUGAAACUUUAUUAUACCCUUUUUCUUUUAAAAAGGGUCCCAUUAAAAUGUUUCCCCAAAUUAAUAUAACCAUAAAAGUCUUAAGUAUUAUAUGGUUUCUUUAGAAACAGAUUCUCUUUCACCCUCUGUAGAGAGAGUUAAGGAAUCUGUUUGCAUCACAAAUGACCAUCAGCAAAAGAAAUUUCAUCAGAAGAUAGGGGACUCUUACUGGAAAUUGAAGAAUUAAGAAAUGUAUAAAGGUGUAUGAGUUUCAAAGAUGAUUGACCUUUAAUAUUGCUGAGAAAACUAAUUAGCUCUUCCUCAGGAGCGUUCUGUAAAACAGGGCUUUUUCAAGGAUCUUUGAAAAAAGAAAAGGAGCAAAGAAGAAACCAGUAUACGAGGGUGGUGAGGACAGAAAUUAUGCUCCUUAAUAAAAAUAUUAAAGGACAGUCUUCUCACCACAACAAACAGAACCAUGUGGUCAAAAGAGUUAUGUGUCAGAAUUGCAAACAGCUGAGUGCCUGAAAGAAACAAAUAGGGUCAGUGGAAAUAUGCGCUUGCUCCCAAACGUUUUCAGGCCAUCUCUUCAAUCCUCUGCAAGGAACAUUAGGGAUUCUUCCAUUUUGGCUGACAUACUUAGAAGAAGUCUGAGGAUAUUUCCAGGGAGCCCAUCCACCACUUCUGGAGACACUCCUCAGGUGCACCUUUUCUGUGAAAUUCAUCUCAACUCUGCAGGCAGAGGGCAGGGGCUCCUCUCCUACGUUCACAGAGCCCUUUUACUACCACUACCAUUUUGGCACACGUCAUAACCACACUGUUACUUCUUUACAUGUCCAUGAUCACCAGAUGAUAAGGAAGCACCGGAAGAAAAAGAUACACUAAAAGGGGAGAACUGCAUCCACUCUAAGUUCAGAAAUGGCUGGAAGCCCUUCCACGGCCAAGAUCAGGACCAACUCCAUGGAAACGCGACCUGAGCAGUCACACAGGCUCUACACUGAGAAGGGCCUCACACUUGGCUUUAUCCUCUGCUGUUGCCACCUUGAAAUUCAUCAUCAUUCUUUAUCGAAAGACCCCUCAUUUUCAUUUAGUGCUGGAUCCCACAGAUUAUAUUCUUGUUAACUUAUUCUUUUAAAAAUCUAGGCAUUAGGACCACACAGGUUCCAUGUCAGUACAAUGCCUUAGCUCUUUGUAUACCAUCCCAAGGCAUGGUCACAGCAGAGUAUUGAGUUUAAAUAGUGGUCUAUCCCAUCCAAAGGCAUUAUCACAACAGAGUAUUGAGUUUAAACAGUGAUUGACCUUCAAGUCUACUGUCCUCGGGGAGGCAAGGAACAGGGGGAAAGGAUUUCUUUAGAUUCCCUCACAGGUUCAAGGGAGCAACAAUUUCCAAACAAUGCCAGCCACGAAUGUUGGUCUCAUCGGUCACAGUCUACUGACACACUGGCACAGUCCAAACUGUCUCUGGAAUGUAUCAAACAUCCCCGCCUGAGUAAACAGACCAGAGCUAAUUGGACAAAAGUGACUGAGGAAUAAUUAUGUUAUGAUACUUACACAAUUAAUAGCUUAUUACAGUAGGUCUCAAAAUGUGGUGCCUGAACCUGCUGCAUCAGCAUCACCUGGGAAUUUGUUAGAAAUAUACAAUCUCAGGUGUACUGCAUCAAAGUCUGGGGGUGGGGCCCAGCAAUCUGAGUUUUAACAAUCUAUGCAGAUGAUCCUGAUGUCAUUGAGAACCACUGGCUUAUCAGAAAUGGAGGAAACAUUAUCUUCUGGUUGCAUCAAUUGUAAGAAAUGUUUUCCAUCAUUCAAUUAACAAGAAGAAAGUUACACGUCUUCAUUCAUUCAUUCACUUCAGUCAUAAUUGCUUUAGGCAUAUGCUAAAUACAUCCGUGUGUGUGUGUGUGUAUGUGUGUGUGUGUGUGUACGUGUGUGUGUGUGUGUGUGUGUGUUUAAGCUCUUCAAGUGAGUCAGGCACUGCAAUGGAUAGAAGGAUAAUGGUUUGUGCUAUAAAAGGGCUUAUAAUCCAAUGCAAGAGAAGACAAGAGGCAAAUUCAUAAACAGAAUGCUCUGCCCAGAAUGCCAGAUGAGAAGUAUGAGAAAGUGCAACGUGCAUUUGGCCAAGGGAGAGAUGACAUAGAGCUUGUCAGAGCAAAGUUAGAGAACACUUAAUGAAUGCACAGUGCAGCUAGAAUUUUGAUGUGUAGUAAGUGGGAAGAGAAUCUUCCAGGCACAGGAGAAGCAUAAUGACAUGACAUGGAAAAGAACAGAGUAUGUUACCAGAUGAGCACAUAAUUCUGUGUGUUAGGAGUGCAGCUUCUGUGAAAAGAAUAAAUCUGAGAAUAAGUCAGAAUAGUGGGAGAACUACUUUUGGAGGGAGGGCCCUGAAUUUGAGGCAGAGUUCUUCUGUCUUCUCAUGAGACUGCGAACAGAGGUGUGAGGACUGUAGGGAGGCAGGCAGCACAACCUUCUCAAAUUCUUGCUCCUCCGGCCAUAUCUCCAUUGUGGGAUCCCAGUGCAAAGCUUGAGAAGAAAAGCUACAAAAACCAGAUAAAGGGGCCAGUCAGAUGUCCGAGGCUGGAUAUUCUCCUUGCAUGCUUUUGGCUUCGAUAAUCUUGCUUGCCUCCCUUGUCCACCAACUGCCCGGAUAGCAUCGCUGAUAAGCGCCCUCUCCCCCUUUUCUUUUGUCUCUCAAACCCCUACCAUCCCAGCCAUAAAAGGAGGCCAAUGCCAGGGUUCGGGGCUCAGCCUUUGGAGGUGACUCUGCUGGGCCAGCACCGGUGUGCAAUAAACAGUCUUUUCCUGAUUCCCCAAUUGUGUGUGGCUUGUCUCUUCCUGGGCUCUGAGUAUUUGCUGUAACAAGCUCUCUGAGACUCUACUUUACUGAAGAGAAAGACAUAUUUGUCCUUUUAUUUCACAGGUAUAAUGAGAUGGGCAGAAACAGGUCUAGAACCAUUUGGAGACAGAGCUGUUUUGCCAGGACCACCCCUGGGAAACUAGAUUUCUUCAUGGCUGUAGUCAGCCAGUGCACAGGACAUUGUUUGAAAACUGCUUUUUUAUUCUUUCACAUCAGAAUCGUUCGUGAGAAUGGUUUGGGGCUUGCUCUUUCUUUCUUUCUUCUUUCUUUCUUUCUUUCUUUCUUUCUUUCUUUCUUUCUUUUUUUCUUUCUUUCUGUUUUUAAGUUAAGAGUAAUUUGUAGUUUGGACAGUUUCCUGAGCGAGGCUAUGUUUAAGCUUCCGCUUUUAGAUACCAGACUUCCAGCUCAUCUCUCCCCACCCUCCUGUCCUGCAGCCACAGGCCUUUUUAAAUCCAGGAGCAAGAGACAUCCAAGACAACAUGAUGGGCCCUGGGGCAAGGGAGGACUACCAUUUGUUAACCACCUUUCUAGCUGUUUCUGCCAGUUUCACAUGCUCACUCUUCCCAACUUUCCUAAAGCGAGACAAAGAAAUGGGGGCAAGUAAAUUACAAAAAGCUGAACAGUCAAUUAAAAAAUAUGUAUGUACUUGGAAAAAAUACAUCUCUAUUGAAUGCUAGUUCCUAAGGGCCAAGACCAUCUAUGGUUAAUUCUCUACAGCACUUAAAUGAUAUAAAGUAAUUUGAUGCUUUGAGAUCCUCAUUUAAGAAGUAGUACAAAAAUAGCUAGGAAAAUGUAAAUUACUUCUACUUCUAUGGACAGCAAGUUGGCAAUGCCCAUCAAAACCUAAAAUACAUGUACAAAGUGAGCUGAAAGUUAUACUUCUGAGGGCUCUAUCUUACAGAUAAACUCAAAUAGGCAAACUGGUUCUGUACAAGGUUAUACUGUUCAUACUAAUAAUAUUUUAAAAGAUUAGAAACAACCAAAAGGACCAUGAAGAAAGAAGUGGUUAAAUAAAGUAUAGCCCUAAAAUACUUGGCAACUGGAACAAAGAAUAGGGAAGCACUCUAGUACUGAUAUGGAGAAAGCUCUAAUAUAUACCAUUUCUGACAAAAGGGGAGGCAGCACAAUGUGAUGGGUAUGUUACCAUAAAAAAUCAGAAGAAAGAGUUUAUAUAUACUUGUUUGCU